AGUGAACGCUGGCGGUAGGCCUAACACAUGCAAGUCGAACGGCAGCACAGUAAGAGCUUGUUCUUACGGGUGUCGAGUGGCGGAAGGGUGAGGAAUACAUCGGAAUCUACUUUUUCGUGGGGGCUAACGUAGGGAAACUUACGCUAAUACCGCAUACGACCUACGGGUGAAAGCAGGGGUUCUUCGGACCUUUCGCGAUUGAAUGAGCCGAUGUCGGCUUAGCUAGUUGGCGGGGCCAAGGCCCACCAAGGCGACGAUCGGUAGCUGGUCUGAGAGGAUGAUCAGACACACGGGAACUGAGACACGGUCCCGACUCCUGCGGGAAGAAGCAGUGGGGAAUAUUGGACGAGGGGGGCAAGGCUGAUCCAGCCAUACCGCGUGGGUGAUGAAGGCGUUCGGGUUGUAAAGCCCUUUUGUUGGGAAAGAAAAGCAGCAGGUUAAUACCCCGCUGUUCUGACGGUACCCAAAGAAUAAGCACCGGCUAACUUCGUG
Molecule: ribosomal RNA, 492 nt
Filed under: uncultured bacterium
Lineage: Bacteria
Description: partial 16S ribosomal RNA
Rfam family: Bacterial small subunit ribosomal RNA
Source: RNAcentral